This is an RNA transcript of Vidua chalybeata, 1318 nucleotides long. RefSeq lists it as uncharacterized. The record is from RefSeq and is a predicted model, not a curated record. Lineage: Eukaryota; Metazoa; Chordata; Aves; Passeriformes; Viduidae. The transcript is spliced from 4 exons.
CCAGCCCAACACCGGUAGGGUGGCAGGGGCCGCAGCUAUGCUGUUUGCCUCUCCCAUCAGCUCCCCAGGCAACUGGAAACACCGCCUGAUCCUCAGCGUGGGAAGAUCUGAGACGCAAGAUUACUGGAGAAGGAACUACAACCAGACAACAACGUCUGCCCCGGCUACUGCCGUGCUAAAACGCGCUCUGCUCUCCACAGCGCGUGGAUCUGGAGGUAACAUCUCUUGGAGGACAAUGGGUGAGGAGGAGUGUCUGCGGGACAGGCUGACACGGACGAUACCGGACCGGACCCCGGCCGGCAGGGAGCGGGCGGUGGGUGUGGAUGUGGAUGAGCGCAGACGGCCCGCGGGAGCCGCUCAGCCGGAACCACCGGGGGGGACACGGAGGCAUCUCCCCGCUACAGGGGACUUCCUGACGGCCAAAAAUACGCAGAAACGCCCCCAAGCCCUAAAAGAGCCAACAACAAGGCAGGAUUUACCCUCGCUUAUACGGCACGAUUUCAAGGCCGGUGUCCGGCGGGACUCCAGAUGCUCAGCCACAGAGUUAUUGGAGUAUGAAACAUUAGGACAGCAAGCAGCAAACAUGGCACCUGCAGUACCCGAAAACGCUCCCUGUAGGCAUCUGUACUUCCAACAUCUCUGUUGUUGCAUGUGAGUGUAUCCAGGAAACUCCCAAAAUGCUGCACACCAGUACGGUAGACAUAACCCACAGACUCACACCAGUCUAAGCAGACCAUCAAAAAACAUCAGAAAUGUUUCAACUUAACCAGCUAACUCCCAGAAGAAGCUCCAGGACUCAAUAUGAAUCCCUACAAGCACUCAAGUACUUUGGGUAUCUUGAUGGCCAACAUGAGUUCAUGAGAACCCCAGGUUACUGAGGGAGGAACCAUCUUCACUUGGCCAUAAGAAAUACUGGGGAUUGGGAAGCCUAAAUUCCCAGUACAGGGACUGGAUGAACCAUCAGCUUACCUUUGCACAGAACCAUCUGUUUCUCCAUGCUGGUGUCUGCAUUGGCAAGGGCUGUGGACUGUACAGCACUGAACAGGGUUAGGCAUUUACAUGCAUAGUGAAAACAUAUCAGAGCAUUAAAAAAUGUGUAUGAUAAAUACAAAUCUUUGUGCUUGAAGGUAUGAGUGAUAAGGAUAGAAAGACUAUUAUUGCUAGUAGAGAUUUCAGUUCUCCAAACCAUCUGUUUUUGAUGAUUGUUAGAAGCAAGAUACAAGACUUACAUCAAACACAGUUUCAAACUGGUCCAGCACUGCUCAGUUCCUCAGAUCCUGGAGUCUCUAUCCCCAAAAAGUAAAAGAAAACCUUAAUA